GGAAGCAAGAAUUGAGGUUGCUGCAGACCCGUGCAGAUUUGCUGCUGCUAACAUACUUUGGUGCUGUGACUUGGAUAUGUUCCCUAGUGCUCUGCCACUGGAAAGGAACUGCCCUGAGAGCUGAAGGACCCCCAGGACCGGAUCCCAAUCCUUGAUGGCUUUGAGCUGAAGGAGCUCUCUGCUCUGGCUGGCUUCUAAGUCAGACAUUGUCAUCAGCAAGACAAAACCAAGAACAACUCUAGAGGACGCAUAAAACAACAUGCAGUACAAACUGUAAAUUCCUAACAGAAAGAAAAUGACUUUUGUCUAAUUCAAAGGUUAUAAAGGUAAAGAGGUACUUUGGUUAAGGAAGGUUAUAAAGAAAAGAAAUUUUAUAUGAGAAAGGAUCUUUUGUCAUAAAUUGGUGUCCUAAAGAAAAAUAACUGAUUGUUUUAAAAAAAGGGAUGCUUAGGACAAGUGAGAAAGUCCAAGCUUUUCAUAGAUGAUCUGUGUAAGUCAUGAAAAGA
Molecule: long non-coding RNA, 506 nt
Organism: Cercocebus atys (sooty mangabey)
Lineage: Eukaryota; Metazoa; Chordata; Mammalia; Primates; Cercopithecidae
Exons: 3
Source: RefSeq, a predicted model, not a curated record